AGUGAACGCUGGCGGUAGGCCUAACACAUGCAAGUCGAACGGCAGCACAGUAAGAGCUUGCCCUUACGGGUGGCGAGUGGCGGACGGGUGAGGAAUACAUCGGAAUCUACUUUUUCGUGGGGGAUAACGUAGGGAAACUUACGCUAAUACCGCAUACGACCUACGGGUGAAAGCAGGGGAUCUUCGGACCUUGCGCGAUUGAAUGAGCCGAUGUCGGAUUAGCUAGUUGGCGGGGUAAAGGCCCACCAAGGCGACGAUCCGUAGCUGGUCUGAGAGGAUGAUCAGCCACACUGGAACUGAGACACGGUCCAGACUCCUACGGGAGGCAGCAGUGGGGAAUAUUGGGCAAUGGGCGAAAGCCUGAUCCAGCCAUGCCGCGUGAGUGAAGAAGGCCUUCGGGUUGUAAAGCCCUUUUGUUGGGAAAGAAAAGCAGCAGGUUAAUACCCCGCUGUUCUGACGGUACCCAAAGAAUAAGCACCGGCUAACUUCGUG
Molecule: ribosomal RNA, 492 nt
Filed under: uncultured bacterium
Lineage: Bacteria
Description: partial 16S ribosomal RNA
Rfam family: Bacterial small subunit ribosomal RNA
Source: RNAcentral